Molecule: ribosomal RNA, 690 nt
Filed under: Lobariella flavomedullosa
Lineage: Eukaryota; Fungi; Ascomycota; Lecanoromycetes; Peltigerales; Lobariaceae
Description: SSU rRNA
Rfam family: Bacterial small subunit ribosomal RNA
Source: RNAcentral
AAGCAAAGCUAACUGCAUUUAUAUGUAGUUACUAUUUUUUAGUUUAAAAUUCUAGAUAGAAUUAUGAUGAUGACAUUAUCUAUCUAUUAGUCUUGACCAAAUUGCGUGCCAGCAGUCGCGGUAAUACGCAGAAGACAAGUGUUAUUCAUCUUUAUUGGGUUUAAAGAGUACCAAGACGGUUAAUAAAGCCUAGUCAUACAAGAUAAAAGGGGACACAUUAACUAGAGUUAUAUGAAAGGAAGCUUUAAGGUACUGCUGUGUGUAGAGAUAAAAUUCAUUAAUACCAGACUAAGGCACAGAUUUAUGCGAAGGCAUCUUCUUAUGUAAUAACUGACGUUGUAGGACGAAGGCUUUUGUAGUGAAAAGGAUUAGAGACCCAAGUAAUCUAAGCAGAAAAUGAUGAAUGUCAUAGGUUUAAUAAGUCUAUAAAUGAAAGUGUAAGCAUUCCACCUCAAGAGUAAUUUGGCAACAUUGGAACUGAAAUCAUUAGACCGUUUCUGAAAUCAGUAGUGAAGUAUGUUGUUUAAUUAGAUGAUACACAAAAAACCUUACCACAAUUUGAAUAUAUAUCUUUAAAGAUAUUUACAAGCGUUGCACGGCUGUCUUCAGUUAAUGUCGUGAGAUUUUGGUUAGUUCCAAAAAAUUAACGUAAACCCUCGUUUUAUUUAGAAAUAAAAUUUAGAUCUAUUU